RNAcentral lists this ribosomal RNA (213 nucleotides) under uncultured bacterium. Its description in RNAcentral is "partial 16S ribosomal RNA". It matches the Rfam family "Bacterial small subunit ribosomal RNA", at positions 524 to 736 of the family's 1533-position model. The record is from RNAcentral.
UACGUAGGGUGCAAGCGUUGUCCGGAAUUAUUGGGCGUAAAGAGCUCGUAGGCGGUUUGUCGCGUCUGCUGUGAAAACCUAAGGCUCAACCUUGGGCUUGCAGUGGGUACGGGCAGACUAGAGUGCGGUAGGGGUGACUGGAAUUCCUGGUGUAGCGGUGGAAUGCGCAGAUAUCAGGAGGAACACCGAUGGCGAAGGCAGGUCACUGGGCCG